Molecule: ribosomal RNA, 468 nt
Filed under: uncultured bacterium
Lineage: Bacteria
Description: partial 16S ribosomal RNA
Rfam family: Bacterial small subunit ribosomal RNA
Source: RNAcentral
GACGAACGCUGGCGGCGUGCUUAACACAUGCAAGUCGAACGGAAAGGCCCUGCUUUUGUGGGGUGCUCGAGUGGCGAACGGGUGAGUAACACGUGAGUAACCUGCCCUUGACUUUGGGAUAACUUCAGGAAACUGGGGCUAAUACCGGAUAGGAGCUCCUGCUGCAUGGUGGGGGUUGGAAAGUUUCGGCGGUUGGGGAUGGACUCGCGGGUUAUCAGCUUGUUGGUGGGGUAGUGGCUUACCAAGGCUUUGACGGGUAGCCGGCCUGAGAGGGUGACCGGGCACAUUGGGACUGAGAUACGCACCAGACUCGUACGGGACGCAGCAGUGGGGAAUAUUGCACAAUGGGCGGAAGCCUGAUGCAGCAACGCCGCGUGCGGGAUGACCGCCUUCGGGUUGUAAACCGCUUUCGCCUGUGACGAAGCGUGAGUGACGGUAAUGGGUAAAGAAGCACCGGCUAACUACGUG